GACGAACGCUGGCGGCGUGCUUAACACAUGCAAGUCGAGCGGUAAGGCCCUUUCGGGGGUACACGAGCGGCGAACGGGUGAGUAACACGUGGGUGACCUGCCUUUAGCUCUGGGAUAAGCCUGGGAAACCGGGUCUAAUACCGGAUAUGACUCCGCGGCGCAUGUUGUGGGGUGGAAAGCCUUGUGCGGCUGGAGAUGGGCCCGCGGCCUAUCAGCUUGUUGGUGGGGUGAUGGCCUACCAAGGCGACGACGGGUAGCCGGCCUGAGAGGGCGACCGGCCACACUGGGACUGAGACACGGCCCAGACUCCUACGGGAGGCAGCAGU
This 326-nucleotide ribosomal RNA is filed under the name uncultured bacterium. RNAcentral describes it as "bacterial SSU rRNA". It matches the Rfam family "Bacterial small subunit ribosomal RNA", at positions 28 to 355 of the family's 1533-position model. The record is from RNAcentral.